RNAcentral lists this long non-coding RNA (773 nucleotides) under Chinchilla lanigera (long-tailed chinchilla). RNAcentral's name for it is "lncRNA (ENSCLAG00000023788.1)". The record is from RNAcentral. Lineage: Eukaryota; Metazoa; Chordata; Mammalia; Rodentia; Chinchillidae.
UACAGACAAGAUGACAGGAAAUUAUGGUUGUUGUAUUACAUAUUGAUAACUUCAAACUGGUUACUCAGGAAAACAAAUAUAGACAUGCAAGAUUGUCAAAUAAUUAAUCGUUAACUGUUCCUUUCAGUAAAGCUUGUUAACAAUAUAUUUUUAAAUGUUAGAUAUUUUACUUCUAACUUUUCUGUAAAACAUAGUUAUUAUUAUUACUUUUAAUGUAAAUGGCUAAUUUUCUUUAAGGAGAUAAUUGAAAAUUUCAGAUAUUUACUGACAAAUUUCCUUUUUCUGGUGCUUAUGAUGAUUUUCAUCUGGUAUCACUCCCUUUAACAAAGUUCUUUCAAUGAUUUUUUGUAGUGGAGAUUGACCUUCACGUUUUUACUCUCUAAAACUGAUUCCGUGAGACACUUCUUCUCACAGUAAAACCGAUGGAGAAGCGAUGAAUCCGUUGUUUGCUGCGGGCUUCUUGGAAAUGGGCAUGCUCCCCCGACUGCACAGGACAGGAAGUGGUGUAACUCUUCGGAAUGCUGUAGUAUAGCAUAAAACAACUUAAAAACAGAGAUGUUUUUACCUACAGAGAAAAGCAAGACAUACAUCAAAUUUUGGCAAAGUGACUUCUGUUUCCAUCGGUGCCCACGCACAUGAUCUCAAGAAGCCGUGUGCUGUGGUGCCUUUGAGGCUCAGGUGGCAUUAUGGCGGACUGGGAUUUGGAGCCUGUGACACCAGGCUAAUUGCCCACUCCAUUCUUCUGGUGGAAUGAAACCUACGGAAGGACUUAC